GAUGAACGCUGGCGGCGUGCCUAAUACAUGCAAGUCGAGCGAACAGACGAGGAGCUUGCUCCUCUGACGUUAGCGGCGGACGGGUGAGUAACACGUGGAUAACCUACCUAUAAGACUGGGAUAACUUCGGGAAACCGGAGCUAAUACCGGAUAAUAUAUUGAACCGCAUGGUUCAAUAGUGAAAGACGGUUUUGCUGUCACUUAUAGAUGGAUCCGCGCCGCAUUAGCUAGUUGGUAAGGUAACGGCUUACCAAGGCAACGAUGCGUAGACGACCUGAGAGGGUGAUCGGCCACCCUGGAACUGAGACACGGUCCAGACUCCUACGGGAGGCAGCAGUAGGGAAUCUUCCGCAAUGGGCGAAAGCCUGACGGAGCAACGCCGCGUGAGUGAUGAAGGUCUUCGGAUCGUAAAACUCUGUUAUUAGGGAAGAACAAAUGUGUAAGUAACUAUGCACGUCUUGACGGUACCUAAUCAGAAAGCCACGGCUAACUACGUG
RNAcentral lists this ribosomal RNA (497 nucleotides) under uncultured bacterium. RNAcentral describes it as "partial 16S ribosomal RNA". It matches the Rfam family "Bacterial small subunit ribosomal RNA", at positions 28 to 507 of the family's 1533-position model. The record is from RNAcentral.